CCUACGGGAGGCAGCAGUGAGGAAUAUUGGUCAAUGGGCGGAAGCCUGAACCAGCCAAGUAGCGUGCGGGAUGAAGGCCCUACGGGUCGUCAACCGCUUUUGCACGGGGAUAACACCCUCCACUUGUGGAGGUCUGCAGGUACCGUGCGAAUAAGGGCCGGCUAAUUCCGUGCCAGCAGCCGCGGUAAUACGGAAGGCCCGAGCGUUAUCCGGAUUCAUUGGGCUUAAAGGGCGCGUAGGCGGGCGUUCAAGUCAGCUGUAAAAUCGCGCGGCUCAACAGCGCCCCGCAGUUGAAACUGGACGCCUUGAGUUCGCAACAGGCAGGAGGAAUUCGUGGUGGAGCGGUGAAAUGCAUAGAUAUCACGAGGAACCCCGAUUGCGAAGGCAGCCUGCCGGGGUGCGACUGACGCUGAGGCUCGAAGGUGCGGGUAUCAAACAGGAUUAGAUACCCCUGUAGUC
Molecule: ribosomal RNA, 459 nt
Filed under: uncultured bacterium
Lineage: Bacteria
Description: partial 16S ribosomal RNA
Rfam family: Bacterial small subunit ribosomal RNA
Source: RNAcentral